This 531-nucleotide ribosomal RNA is filed under the name Collinsella aerofaciens. RNAcentral's name for it is "partial 16S ribosomal RNA". It matches the Rfam family "Bacterial small subunit ribosomal RNA", at positions 96 to 645 of the family's 1533-position model. Lineage: Bacteria; Bacillati; Actinomycetota; Coriobacteriia; Coriobacteriales; Coriobacteriaceae. The record is from RNAcentral.
CCGCGAACGGCUGAGUAACACGUGGAGAACCUGCCCCCUCCCCCGGGAUAGCCGCCCGAAAGGACGGGUAAUACCGGAUACCCCGGGGUGCCGCAUGGCACCCCGGCUAAAGCCCCGACGGGAGGGGAUGGCUCCGCGGCCCAUCAGGUAGACGGCGGGGUGACGGCCCACCGUGCCGACAACGGGUAGCCGGGUUGAGAGACCGACCGGCCAGAUUGGGACUGAGACACGGCCCAGACUCCUACGGGAGGCAGCAGUGGGGAAUCUUGCGCAAUGGGGGGAACCCUGACGCAGCGACGCCGCGUGCGGGACGGAGGCCUUCGGGUCGUAAACCGCUUUCAGCAGGGAAGAGUCAAGACUGUACCUGCAGAAGAAGCCCCGGCUAACUACGUGCCAGCAGCCGCGGUAAUACGUAGGGGGCGAGCGUUAUCCGGAUUCAUUGGGCGUAAAGCGCGCGUANGCGGCCCGGCAGGCCGGGGGUCGAAGCGGGGGGCUCAACCCCCCGAAGCCCCCGGAACCUCCGCGGCUUGG